Non-coding RNA from Hemiscyllium ocellatum (epaulette shark), 1911 nucleotides. NCBI's taxonomy places the organism in Eukaryota, Metazoa, Chordata, Chondrichthyes, Orectolobiformes, Hemiscylliidae. The record is from the annotation of a RefSeq genome assembly.
AUGGUUGACGAUGCAAUUGAACCCCACUCCUACAAUCGCAAUAGGGAGCCCUCUGUUCCUUACCUCUCACCGCUUCAACCUCGCAUACAUCAUAUCAUCCUCCACUGCUUCCAGCAGCUGCAAACAGAUCCCAUCACUCGGGGUGUCCAGUCGGAGGUUGUUUUGACUCAGCCAGAUGCAGAGACUGGCCGUCCCACAAGCAGUCUGAAACGGACCUGUAAAACUAGUGGGUUCGAUCUUAGCAGCUACAACAUGUACUGGGUCCGACAAAUUCCCGGACAGGGUCUGGAGUGGCUGGUACGCUACUAUAGUCCAUCCAGCAAUAACUAUGCACCAGCGAUUAAGGGUCGAUUUACUGCAUCCAAAAACACUUCAAACAACAUUUUCGCUUUGCACAUGGGGAGCCUGAAGGUCGAAGACACCGCCAUCUAUUACUGUGCAAGUGGUUAUAGCUGGAGUGAGUACUGGGGCCAAGGGACCAUGGUGUCAGUGACUUCAGAGAUACCUUCUCCCCCCACGCUGUAUGGUCUGGUCACCUCCUGUCAGAAGCACAACACCGGUUCCGUGAUCUUUGGUUGUUUGGUGAUGGACUAUUCCCGUGACGUCACCAAUGUAACCUGGAAGAAAGGUGGGGAGCUAAUCACGACUGGAUUGAAGACUUAUUCAUCAGUGAGAAACAAGAACGGAACCUACACCCUGAGCAGCCAGUUAACCGUGCCCAACUCAGCGGUAGAUUGCCCCAGCAAAAUCUACUGUGAGGUUCAACACAGCGGGUCACACAAAAGCAAAGAAAUGCCAUGUCAAGAUAAUUUGUGCGAUGUAUUUACUAAAGGUCCAGAUAUUCUCCAACCAACUCUUCUCCUUACUGUGAGCUCCAGUGAAGAAAUCGCAAACAGCAAGUUUGCAACCGCUGUCUGUUCAAUCAUCGAUUUCCAUCCGAAGUCAAUCUCCAUGAUCUGGUUGAAAAAUGGCCGACCCUUGGAUUCUGGCUUCUUCACGUCUCCCGUGUGUGAGGCAAACGGGAAUUUCUCGGUGACGAGUCGGCUGAUGGUCCCUUAUGGUGAAUGGUUCAACAGCGCAGUCUAUACCUGUCAGGUCACUCAUGGAGAGAACAUUCAAAGUAAAAAUAUUACCUCACUCCAGGAUACCGAGUGCCACGCUAACACCGUUAAAAUCCUCCCACCACCAGUAGAACAAGUCUUACUGGAGGGGACGUUGACGUUAACCUGCGUUUUGUCCAAUCUUCCUUCUGGAGUCAACGUUACCUGGACACAGGAAAAGAAGCCUCUGAAAUCAGAGAUUGCUGACCAGCCUGGACAGAAUCCCGAAAGCCUGAUCAGCAAAUUGGACAUUUCUACUGAAGUCUGGCUGAGUGGUGUUACUUUUGAAUGUGUGGUGUACUAUCAGAAUCUAUCGACUUCGCUGAGAGACUCCAUCCACAAGGAGAAAGUGAUUAAUCUGCUGGAGCCAUCAGUGUCGGUCCUCCUGCCACUAACAAAAGAAAUCCCCGCUCAGACGUUUCAAUCCCUCACCUGUUUAGUGAGAGGUUUCUCCCCCCAAGUGAUCUUCGUCAAGUGGACAAGCAAUGACAAGCCAGUGAAUCCCAGUAACUACAAGAACACCGAGGUGAUGGCAGAGAGUGACAACAUCUCCUUCUUCAUGUACAGCCUGUUAUCCAUUACAGCGGAGGAGUGGGCCAGUGGUGCUUCUUACUCCUGUGUGGUGGGACAUGAGGCAAUUCCAUUGAAGAUCAUCAACAGAACAGUCGAUAACUCCAGCGAUUUGGAGGCUCAUCCCGGGAAUGCAAGCUCCAGUCGCUCGGCAUUUUUGAGAAAACGGAGAAGGUGCACCUCGCUGAUUUCGGCGGUCUCUAGUGCCCCUCCUUGCCGCAAGCGGCCUGUGCGAGCGUGA